AUUUGGUUUAGUUAGGAGGCAUAUAUUGAAUUAUAGGCCUUUUGAGGGGACUCUUAUUUUCUCUUAUUAAUAGUCUUCCAAGCAGCCUUAUACAUUU
Small nucleolar RNA from Pistacia vera, 97 nucleotides. RefSeq annotates it as small nucleolar RNA U19. The transcript has a single exon. NCBI's taxonomy places the organism in Eukaryota, Viridiplantae, Streptophyta, Magnoliopsida, Sapindales, Anacardiaceae. The record is from RefSeq and is a predicted model, not a curated record.